CCUACGGGCGGCAGCAGUGGGGAAUAUUGCACAAUGGGGGAAACCCUGAUGCAGCGACGCCGCGUGAGUGAAGAAGUAAUUCGUUAUGUAAAGCUCUAUCAGCAGGGAAGAAAAUGACGGUACCUGAGUAAGAAGCUCCGGCUAACUACGUGCCAGCAGCCGAGGUAAUACGUAGGGGGCAAGCGUUAUCCGGAUUUACCGGGUGUAAAGGGAGCGUAGACGGCAGUGCAAGUCUGGGGUGAAAGGCGGGGGCUCAACCCCCGGACUGCUCUGGAAACUGUACGGCUUGAGUGCAGGAGAGGUAAGUGGAAUUCCUAGUGUAGCGGUGAAAUGCGUAGAUAUUAGGAAGAACACCAGUGGCGAAGGCGGCUUACUGGACUGUAACUGACGUUGAGGCUCGAAAGCGUGGGGAGCAAACAGGAUUAGAUACCCGGGUAGUC
Molecule: ribosomal RNA, 440 nt
Filed under: uncultured bacterium
Lineage: Bacteria
Description: partial 16S ribosomal RNA
Rfam family: Bacterial small subunit ribosomal RNA
Source: RNAcentral